This 73-nucleotide transfer RNA is filed under the name Vannella simplex. Its description in RNAcentral is "tRNA-Asn". It matches the Rfam family "tRNA". Rfam says of the family: Transfer RNA (tRNA) molecules are approximately 80 nucleotides in length. Their secondary structure includes four short double-helical elements and three loops (D, anti-codon, and T loops). Further hydrogen bonds mediate the characteristic L-shaped molecular structure. tRNAs have two regions of fundamental functional importance: the anti-codon, which is responsible for specific mRNA codon recognition, and the 3' end, to which the tRNAs corresponding amino acid is attached (by aminoacyl-tRNA synthetases). tRNAs cope with the degeneracy of the genetic code in two manners: having more than one tRNA (with a specific anti-codon) for a particular amino acid; and 'wobble' base-pairing, i.e. permitting non-standard base-pairing at the 3rd anti-codon position. The record is from RNAcentral. Lineage: Eukaryota; Discosea; Flabellinia; Vannellidae.
AAUUUAGUAGCUCAAUUGGUAGAGCAGUUGGCUGUUAACCAAAAGGUUACUGGUUCAAGUCCAGUCUAGGUCG